RNAcentral lists this long non-coding RNA (5406 nucleotides) under Triticum aestivum (bread wheat). RNAcentral's name for it is "long non-coding RNA (TAES_LNC005863)". The record is from RNAcentral. Lineage: Eukaryota; Viridiplantae; Streptophyta; Magnoliopsida; Poales; Poaceae.
CGUUCCUAGGCAGUGGCCACCACGGGGAGGUUCAUGUGGUGGGAGACGUCGGCACGACGUGGGGAGGUCGAGACGUCCGGAUUUUCUUUUUAACUGCGGGCCAUAUGGAUUGGGGGAAGAAGGUUGGGUUGGGCAAUUUUUUCUGUAUCUUUAGCAAAUCAUUUUCCGGAUUGGGGAAUAACGGUCGGGUCAGACAUUUCUUUUUUCUUAUGGAUCUUUAGAGAAUCAUUUUCUACCACUUAUGGAUGGGAGCGUUUGGUAAUUGUUUUCUGAAUCUUUAGCAAAUCGUUUUUUGGAUUGGCGAACAAUGGUCGGGUCGGGCAGCUCAUUUUUCUGGAUCUUUAGCGAAUCGUUUUCUACCACUUAUGGAUGAGAGUGGUGUGUAAUUGUUUUUCUCGAUCUUUAGCAAAUCGUUUUUCAGACUAGGGAACAAUGGUCUGGUCGACAGCUCUUUUCUCCGGACCUUCAGAGAAUCAUUUUCUACCACUUUUGGAUGGAAGUGGUGGGUAAUUGCUUUUUCUGGAUCUUUAGCAGAUCUUUUUCCAGAUUGGGUAACAAGGGUCGGGUCGGCAAGUUUUUUUCUGGAUCUUUAGCAAAUUGUUUACUACCACUUAUGGUUGGGAGUGGUGAGUAAUUUUUCUCUGGAUCUGUAGCAAAUCAUUUUCCUGAUUGGGGAACAAUGGUUGGGUCGGACAGCUCUUUUUUUCUUGAUCUUUAGCAAAUUAUUUUCUACCACAUAUGGAUGGCAGUGGUGGGUAAUUUUUUUGCAACUUCAUGGGCAAUUUUAGGACGGACGGGCAGAAGAAAGAAUCCCUUUAUUAGUGUUCAAGAAAACAUUGUGGUAGUGAAGUAUAUUAUGGUCAUUUGUGUUGUGGUAGAGACACUUUCUUUUAUUAGGGCCAGGACAGACGGGCAUAAGCACGCACCACAGAUACAUAAACUUAUGAUUAUUUGUGUUUUGGUAGAGGCACUUUCUUUUAUUAGGGUCAUUUACAUUGUUUCUAUUUGAGGUAGUGAAGUAUAUUAUGCCAAUGAGAUAUUGUACGCAUUCCUUAUUUUUGAGACGUUUUUAAGAGGGAAAGUUAUUACUAACCAACUCCUCGGAUUAAAUUAAAAGGUGUCUAUGAAGGCCAUGUUUUUUGAUUAUUUUUCUCAAGCGGGUAUAGCCGGAUUCGAGUGGCCCAUGCACACGACAAACCAACCCUGCCCCACUCGCAAUAUAUACGGGUCCGGCCCCAUAUCAAACAUAUGGAAAAGAAUAUGUCAUGGAGAGGAUAAGGUUGGGAGAGUUUACGGUGGGUGGGCCCCAUAGGCAGUGCAUGUCUAGCGUAGGAGCAGGUCUACAUGAGGAAAAUAUUAGUCGGUUGAAUAAGGCUGUUCCAUCUUUCAGACGUUUUAAAGAUGGAAAGUGUAUGUGUUAUCAUCUGCUAAAUCUCAAAUUAAUGUGUCUAUAUGAAGGCCAUUAUCUAGUGAGUAUUUUUCUCAAGUGGAGGAUAAUCACCUCAUAUAGAAAUGGUUCGAGCCGCCCAUGGACUCGACGUAGCUAUUCCUACCCUACCCCCAAUAUAUAUGAGUCUGGACCAUGGGACGGUUCCCCUUUGCCUGUUCCGGCACCCAUCUUAGACAACCAGAAUGCCCAGCAUCCUAACCUAGGUGUCCGACGAUCUCUCCCUCCUUUCACCCCCACGACCGUUGAUGUCAUCAGAGCCACCACCUGCAGAGGCGGCGGAGGCUACUAAGGCCGCCGAGCCAUCGGCUUCCUCAUCGAAGGAAUCAAAACCCUCUGACACAAGGGGUGCUACCGCCGUGCCAGGGGCGGACCACGAGGCAAACACGCUAUGCAUCGGCAACCUACCCACACACACAUGCACACAUGGAUGAGGACGACAUCACUACGGCCUUGGCCCUGCAUGUGGCGCCUAACAAAGUCGUCACGCGAGGUGACUCCCGUAGCUACGCCUUAGUCCUCUUUUGCUCACUUGCCGUGUCCUAGGAUUCCCUCGAGGUUCUCCGUGGGUCCAAGGUCAUGGGCUCCUUCAUUUGGAUAAUCUCUCUUCUCCCUUCUCCACUGUCUGGAUCAGCUCCCACCUUGUAUCGCCCCGUGAUCUGGCUGCAGGUUGUCACCCUGCGAUGUGAUUGGUAAUUACGAUUUUGGUGCAUGUGAUAUGGCAUGGCGGCGCACGAGUGGUAGAUUUAUCAUUGCGUGCUCUUGCCAUUUCAUACAUUUCUGGUAGUGUCAACAAAUAUAUGUUUUUAGAUAGUUCUAGAUUGGUAACUGUUCUUGCUCUAGGGUGAUAUUGUUAUGUUGGUGUUGUCUAAAGAUUGAUGCCCUCAUGAUACUUACUGGUGUAAUUCUAGCUUUGCUUUGCCAAGGAGUAGGUCAAUAUCUAGUUACUAUGGUAUGGUCUAAUUAAAGUUUGAAUGAUGUACUAAUACUGAAUGAUCAUUGGUUAGUCAUAGUUGUUUAUUUAUCAAGUGAAAUUGCACCAUUUAUGUGUUACUAUUGUGUAAUGAGUUGUGCACAAGUGACACAAUUUGCUAUUAUUCAAGCUGUGAUUUGAUAUAACUAUGCAGUGUAUUUUAUCUUAGAUCUGUUUCACUUCAAGUUAGACCAUUCAUAGCUAUCUCAUAGUUUUUGUUGCUAGGACUACUUGGAUGAGGAUUUUAUGCAUCUAUUUCAUUAUAGAAAUAGUAUGCCUUCUAAUGGCAUCUGUUCUUUGAUUGGUUUUUACAUGAUAGAGCUAUUAGGAACCUAUGUGUUGGAGGAAUCAUUUCAUCUAUAUCAAAGCAGGAGGUAGAUGAAGAGUUUCAAAGGAUUGGAAAGAUUGAACGUGUUGAAUUAUCCAUUGAUAAAACUUUUGCAUACAUCAACUCUGAGUAGCUGGAAGAUGACAUUUCUACCUAUAAACCUGUGGAUGGGACAAAUUUUAGGGGCCUCAUGAUGCAACAUUCCUCUUCGCCGUAUAGUUUGGAGGGACGGGUCAAAUCCAUAUGGGUUAAUGAAACAUGCUUAAUAAAACAUUAACAUAAACAACAAUGUGCCUACUUGUAUGGUGUAAAGAAAUGUUGUAACCACACUCACAUAAAGUUAUGAUUAUUUGUGUUGUUGUCGAGAUACUCUCUUUCAUCAGGGUCAUUUACUUUGUUUAUUUGUGGUAGUUAAGUAUAUUAUGCCAAUGAGAUAUUGUACACAUUCCUUCUUUUUGAGACGUUGUUAAGUGGGAAAGUAAUUACUAACCAACUCCUUGAAAUAAAUUAAAAGGUGUAUGUAUAAAGUUCAUGUUUUUGUGAGUAUUUUUCUCAAGCGAAGGAUAAUCUGGUUUGAGCCGGCCACACACACGAAAAUGUCGUCCCUCUGCCCCCACCCCCCGGGAAUACAUACAAGUCCUGCCCCAUGGGGAACAUGUGGAGAAGAAUAUGUCAUGGGGAGAGGGUAAGGUUGAGAGAGGUUACGGUUGGCUGGCCCCAUAGGGAACACGUGUGGAGUUGAGGAGGAGGUCCUCUAGAGGAAAAGAUUAGUUGGUUGAAAAAAGGGUUUUACCAUAUUUGACAUGUUUUAAAUAAGGAAAGUGUUUAUGUUGUCAUCCGCUAAAUCUCAAAUCAAUGUGUCUAUAUGAAGGCCAUUAUUUGGUGAGUAUUUUUCUCUAAUGGAGGACAAUCACAUCUCAUAGAAAUGGUUGAGCCGCCCAUGGACUCGGCGCAACCGUCCCGACCCUGCCCGCGAUAUAUAUGAGUCUUGCCCGUGGGUCAGUUUCCCUCUCCCCAUUCCGAACAUCAUCUUAGAUAGCUAGAAUUUUGUGCAUCCUGAUCUAGGCGUCCGGCGAUCUCUCCUUCCUCCCACCCCACACCAUCGUAGAUGUUGUUGGAGCCACCGCCCGCAGAGGCGGCCAAGCUGUCAGCCUCCCUACCGAAGGAAUCAGAAGCCUCUAGCAGAGGGGGUGCCGCCACCGCGCUAGGUGCGGCCCAUGAGGAAAACACGCUAUGGGUCGGCAACCUUCCCACGCAUGUGGGCGAGUAUGACGUCACUGCGGCCUUCAUCUCACAAAGGGCACUUGAAUGCAUCAUCACAUGCGCUGACACUCACAGCAACACCUUCAUCCUCUUUAGCUCGCUCGAGGCACUCCGCGGGUCCAAGAUCAAGGCCUCCUUCAUCCGGAUCAAGUUUUUCCAGCUAGUAAUCUCUUCACUCACUUCUCCAUCAUUCGGAUCUGCAUCCACCUUGGAUCCACCAUGAUCUAGCUGCAGGUUGUCACCCCGUGAAGCAAUUUCUUGGGAAAUUAUGGUUUUGGUGCUGGUGAUUUAGCAUGACGCCGCAUGAGAGGGAGAUUUAUCAUCCCGUGCUCAGGCUCUUUUAUGCGUUUUAGGAUGUGUUGGCUUGUUAUAUAGUCCUAGAUUUGUGAUUGUUCCUUGUUCUAUGUUGAAAUUGUUAUGCUAGUGUUUUGUAAAGACUAUUGCCGUCAUGAUACUUACUAUUGUAAUUCCAGCUUCAAUUUGCCUUGGAAUAGGUCAAUAUCCAGUUACUAUCAUAUGGUCUGGUUUAAUCUAAAUGGUGUACUAAUAUUGAAUGAUCCUUGGUUAGUCAUAGUUGUGUAUCUCUAGAGUGAAAUUUCUCCAUUCAUGUGCUACUGUUGUGUAAUUAGUUGUGCACAAAUGACACAAUUUGAUGUUAUUCAUGUUGUGAUUUCAUAUAACUAUGUGCAUGUUAUGAUUUAUCUGUUACACUUUAAGUUAGAUCAUUCAUAGAUAUCUCAGUCUUUGUUGCUAGGACUACUUGGAUGAGAAUUUAAUUCUUCUAUUUCAUUAUAGAAAUAUCAUGCCUUCUGACGGCUUGUGUCUUUUGAUUGGUUUUGACAUGCUGGAGAUUUUGGGAACCUAUGGGUUGGAGGAAUUAUUCAUCUAUUUCAAAGCAGGAGGUAGACGAAGAGUUUCGAAAGUUUGGAAAGAUUGAAGGUGUUGAAUUCUCCAGUGACCAAACUAUGGCAUACAUCGACUUUGAGAAGCUGGAAGAUGCCAUUUAUGCCCAUAGAGACCUGAACAGGAUAGAUCUAGGGCGCCUCAUGACGCUACAUUCCUCAAUGAUGUAUAGUUUGAAGGGAUAGGUCAAAUCCACAUGGGUUAAUUAAACAUUCUUAAUAAAACAUUAACAUAAAUAACAAUUUGCUUGUUUGUACGAUGUCAGAAAAUGUUGUUACCACACUUACAUAAACUUAUGAUUGUUUCUCUUGUGGCCGAGACACUUUCUUUCAUUAGGGUGAUUUACCUUUUUAAUUUAUGGUAGUGAAGUACAUUAUGCCAAAGAGAUAUUGUAUGCAUUCCUUAUAUUUUAGUCCUUUUAAGAGGGAAAGUUAUUACUAACGAAAUUCUUGAAUUAAAUUAGAAGGUGUCUAUGAAGGCCAUGUUUUUGUG